Molecule: ribosomal RNA, 509 nt
Filed under: uncultured bacterium
Lineage: Bacteria
Description: bacterial SSU rRNA
Rfam family: Bacterial small subunit ribosomal RNA
Source: RNAcentral
AGCCUAAUCAUGCAAGUCGAGCGAGUGAACUAAAAACGUCCUUCGGGACGUGCGUUAGUGGAUCUAGCGGCGGAUGGGUGAGUAACACGUGGGCAACCUGCCUGUAAGACUGGGAUAACUCGCGGAAACGCGAGCUAAUACCGGAUAACUUUCCGGAUCGCAUGAUUCGGAAUUAAAAGAUGGCUUUGCUAUCACUUACAGAUGGGCCCGCGGCGCAUUAGCUAGUUGGUGGGGUAAGAGCCUACCAAGGCAACGAUGCGUAGCCGACCUGAGAGGGUGAUCGGCCACACUGGGACUGAGACACGGCCCAGACUCCUACGGGAGGCAGCAGUAGGGAAUCUUCCGCAAUGGACGAAAGUCUGACGGAGCAAUGCCGCGUGAGUGAUGAAGGUCUUCGGAUCGUAAAACUCUGUUGUCAGGGAAGAACAAGUGCCGUUUGAAUAAGGCGGAACCUUGACGGUACCUGACCAGAAAGCCACGGCUAACUACGUGCCAGCAGCCGCGGUAAU